UAGGGAAUAUUGGACAAUGGGCGCAAGCCUGAUCCAGCAAUGCCGCGUGAGCGAUGAAGGCCUUAGGGUUGUAAAGCUCUUUUACCCGGGAUGAUAAUGACAGUACCGGGAGAAUAAGCCCCGGCUAACUCCGUGCCAGCAGCCGCGGUAAUACGGAGGGGGCUAGCGUUGUUCGGAAUUACUGGGCGUAAAGCGCUCGUAGGCGGUUAUUUAAGUCAGGGGUGAAAGCCCGGAGCUCAACUCCGGAAUAGCCCUUGAGACUGGAUAGCUAGAAUCACGGAGAGGUGGGUGGAAUUCCGAGUGUAGAGGGGAAAUGCGUAGAUAUUCGGAAGAACACCAGUGGCGAAGGCGGCCCACUGGACGUGUAUUGACGCUGAGGUACGAAAGCGUGGGGAGCAAACA
RNAcentral lists this ribosomal RNA (402 nucleotides) under uncultured prokaryote. Its description in RNAcentral is "bacterial SSU rRNA". It matches the Rfam family "Bacterial small subunit ribosomal RNA", at positions 355 to 774 of the family's 1533-position model. The record is from RNAcentral.